AUAUAUUUAUGUAGCGACUGUCUUAAAAGUCAAGCGAUCGUGAACAAAAAACCGGGACUGUGAACAUUGACGCAACAGGGGAACGCUGCGCUAGAUUCGGUGGUGGCUGGUA
Molecule: ribosomal RNA, 112 nt
Filed under: Nostoc sp. FACHB-133
Lineage: Bacteria; Bacillati; Cyanobacteriota; Cyanophyceae; Nostocales; Nostocaceae
Description: partial 23S ribosomal RNA
Source: RNAcentral